AGCGAACGCUGGCGGCAGGCCUAACACAUGCAAGUCGAACGGACUCUUCGGAGUUAGUGGCGGACGGGUGAGUAACACGUGGGAACGUGCCUUUAGGUUCGGAAUAAGCCCGGGAAACUGGGUCUAAUACCGAAUGUGCCCUUCGGGGAAGGAUUAUCGCCUUAGUAGCGGCCCGCGUCUGAUUAGCUAGUUGGUGGUGUAAUGGACCACCAAGGCGACGAUCAGUAGCUGGUCUGAGAGGANGACCAGCCACAUUGGGACUGAGACACGGCCCAAACUCCUACGGGAGGCAGCAGUGGGGAAUCUUGCGCAAUGGGCGAAAGCCUGGCGCAGCCAUGCCGCGUGUAUGAUGAAGGUCUUAGGAUU
This 366-nucleotide ribosomal RNA is filed under the name uncultured bacterium. RNAcentral's name for it is "bacterial SSU rRNA". It matches the Rfam family "Bacterial small subunit ribosomal RNA", at positions 29 to 424 of the family's 1533-position model. The record is from RNAcentral.